This 220-nucleotide ribosomal RNA is filed under the name Colwellia sp. 6_MG-2023. RNAcentral's name for it is "partial 23S ribosomal RNA". It matches the Rfam family "Bacterial large subunit ribosomal RNA", at positions 1 to 221 of the family's 2925-position model. Lineage: Bacteria; Pseudomonadati; Pseudomonadota; Gammaproteobacteria; Alteromonadales; Colwelliaceae. The record is from RNAcentral.
GGUUAAGUGACUAAGCGUAUGUGGUGGAUGCCUUGGCAGUUAGAGGCGAUGAAGGACGUGUUAAUCUGCGAAAAGCUUUGGUGAGGUGAUAAAAACCGUUAUAGCCAAAGAUGUCCGAAUGGGGAAACCCACUUAUCAUAAGAUAGGUAUCGUUAACUGAAUACAUAGGUUAACGAGGCGAACCGGGAGAACUGAAACAUCUAAGUACCCCGAGGAAAAG